GACGAACGCUGGCGGCGUGCUUAACACAUGCAAGUCGAACGGAAAGGCCUUUUCGGCGGUACUCGAGUGGCGAACGGGUGAGUAACACGUGGGUGAUCUGCCCUGCACUCUGGGAUAAGCCUGGGAAACUGGGUCUAAUACCGGAUAGGACCGCACUUUAGUGUGUGUGGUGGAAAGUUUUUUCGGUGUAGGAUGAGCCCGCGGCCUAUCAGCUUGUUGGUGGGGUAAUGGCCUACCAAGGCGGCGACGGGUAGCCGGACUGAGAGGUUGGUCGGCCACAUUGGGACUGAGAUACGGCCCAGACUCCUACGGGAGGCAGCAGUGGGGAAUAUUGCACAAGGGGCGCAAGCCUGAUGCAGCGACGCCGCGUGGGGGAUGACGGCCUUCGGGUUGUAAACUCCUUUCGCCAGGGACGAAGCGUUUUGUGACGGUACCUGGAGAAGAAGCACCGGCUAACUACGUG
RNAcentral lists this ribosomal RNA (463 nucleotides) under uncultured bacterium. RNAcentral describes it as "partial 16S ribosomal RNA". It matches the Rfam family "Bacterial small subunit ribosomal RNA", at positions 28 to 507 of the family's 1533-position model. The record is from RNAcentral.